Molecule: ribosomal RNA, 253 nt
Filed under: uncultured bacterium
Lineage: Bacteria
Description: partial 16S ribosomal RNA
Rfam family: Bacterial small subunit ribosomal RNA
Source: RNAcentral
UACGGAGGGGGCUAGCGUUGUUCGGAAUUACUGGGCGUAAAGCGCGCGUAGGCGGACCUGCAAGUCGGGGGUGAAAGCCCGAGGCUCAACCUCGGAACUGCCUUCGAUACUGGAGAGCUCGAGUCCGGGAGAGGUGAGUGGAACUGGGAGUGUAGAGGUGAAAUUCGUAGAUAUUCGGAGGAACACCAGUGGCGAAGGCGGCUCACUGGUCCAUUACUGACGCUGAGGUGCGAAAGCGUGGGGAGCAAACAGG